This 496-nucleotide ribosomal RNA is filed under the name Aquilaria sinensis. RNAcentral's name for it is "eukaryotic LSU rRNA". The stretch from base 335 to 496 matches the Rfam family "Eukaryotic large subunit ribosomal RNA", at positions 1 to 162 of the family's 3401-position model. The record is from RNAcentral. Lineage: Eukaryota; Viridiplantae; Streptophyta; Magnoliopsida; Malvales; Thymelaeaceae.
AUGCGAUACUUGGUGUGAAUUGCAGAAUCCCGUGAACCAUCGAGUCUUUGAACGCAAGUUGCGCCCCAAGCCUUUGGGCCGAGGGCACGUCUGCCUGGGUGUCACGCAUUGUAGCCCCCCACCCUCGUCGUAAUGUCUGUGAGGGCUGUGUGGGGCUGAUACUGGCCUUCCCGUAUGCACAGCAAUGCGGUUGGCCCAAAUGGAGGAACCCAGGGCGGUGUAUGCCAUGAUGAACGGUGGUGUGUGCUUAGCCUGCCGUCGUUAGAGCAUCAUGCGCAUCAUGCCCUUGAGGUAUGUUUCGUGGACAACCCCGGUGCAAUCAUAGCGCGCAUCGCGACCCCAGGUCAGGCGGGAGCACCCGCUGAGUUUAAGCAUAUCAAUAAGCGGAGGAAAAGAAACUUACCAGGAUUCCCCUAGUAACGGCGAGCGAACCGGGAACAGCCCAGCUUGAAAAUUGGUCGCCCUCGGCGUUCGAAUUGUAGUCUGGAGAAGCGUC